GCACUGCUGAGGAGUCCCACAAUAGGACGAAAAGGCCCUCCGGUGC
Molecule: non-coding RNA, 46 nt
Filed under: Schistosoma mansoni
Lineage: Eukaryota; Metazoa; Platyhelminthes; Trematoda; Strigeidida; Schistosomatidae
Source: RNAcentral